Canis lupus familiaris (dog) is the source of this 455-nucleotide long non-coding RNA. RefSeq lists it as uncharacterized. The record is from RefSeq and is a predicted model, not a curated record. The transcript is spliced from 3 exons. NCBI's taxonomy places the organism in Eukaryota, Metazoa, Chordata, Mammalia, Carnivora, Canidae.
GAAACUCAACUGUCUAGUGAGUGGGAAGCCUGACCUGGGACUUGACAUGGGGCUUGAUCACACAACCCUGAGCUCAUGACCUGAGCCAAAACCAAGAGUUGGGCACUUAACCACCUGAGGCAACCACGUGCCCCUCAAAGAAUGAAGAUCAGAAGGAAUAGUGGGAUACAUAUGGAAGAAGAACAAAGGCAAUGAGAAGCCACUCCAUGACUUGAAGAAGACAUAUGACAUUAACUGAGUUAGAGUGUGGUCUAAAACAUUGGAGACAAUACAAGGCAGCAUACCUUUGUGAGAGGUAGGAGGAAAACCCCCUGUCAUGAAUCCUUCUAAUUAUAUCUCUUCCCCUACCUCAUCUUUACAGAUUGUUUAUAGUGAAUCUCUUGUCACUGAUACUGAUAGAACUGUAUCAUAUCCUUAUGUUAAAAAAUGAUUGGCUCAGAAACAUCUUUAGAAUA